CUCCUACGGGAGGCAGCAGUGGGGAAUUUUGCGCAAUGGGGGAAACCCUGACGCAGCGACGCCGCGUGGAGGAUGAAGGUUUUCGGAUUGUAAACUCCUUUUGCAGGGGAAGAUAAUGACGGUACCCUGCGAAUAAGCCACGGCUAACUCUGUGCCAGCAGCCGCGGUAAGACAGAGGUGGCAAGCGUUGUUCGGAAUUACUGGGCUUAAAGGGCGCGUAGGUGUCCCGGCAAGUCAGAUGUGGAAUCUUUUCGCUUAACGGAAAAAUUGCAUUUGAAACUGUCGGGAUUGAGUCAGACAGGGGAUGGCGGAAUUCCUGGUGUAGCGGUGAAAUGCGUAGAUAUCAGGAGGAAGGCCGGUGGCGAAGGCGGCCAUCUGGGUCUGAACUGACACUGAGGCGCGAAAGCGUGGGUAGCAAACAGGAUUAGAUACCCUGGUAGUCCACGCCCUAAACGGUGGGUACUAGGUGUGGGGCUCGCAAGGGUUCUGUGCCGAAGGGAAACCAUUAAGUACCCCGCCUGGGGAGUACGGCCGCAAGGUUGAAACUCAAAGGAAUUGACGG
Molecule: ribosomal RNA, 562 nt
Filed under: uncultured bacterium
Lineage: Bacteria
Description: bacterial SSU rRNA
Rfam family: Bacterial small subunit ribosomal RNA
Source: RNAcentral